UGCUGUAAAAAGGGUGUUGUGUGCUGAAAGGUGGACAGCCUUUCUCCCUAAACAGAACAGACAUGCAUGAGGAAAUAGUGCAGCCUUUCCAGAAUACUUAUUUUUGCCCAACAUCAGUCUUCUAUGAAAUCAGAAAACCUCCUAGAUCCUUAUCUAAAUAAAUGACCACAAGUUCAAGUCUGCUUCCUUCAGGGCCAUCGUCAGCAACUUCACAGGGCCAGGUUCCUUACCCUCAGGCUUUUCAAACCAGCCUUGCUACUCUGUUGUCUCUUCCCAAGCCAUGCACUUUGGUAUCUGAUCAUCUCACAGGUGGUCUUAGGUUUAGAGGACACUUUCCUGGACUACAUACCUGUUCCUUCACACUCAGACACUAUCCCUUUGAACACAUGAACUCCAGCAGGAGUCAAAGAGAAGCCCAAGAAAUGCUUGUAGUGAAAGAGCUUUCAUUGCUGAAUUCACAAUUUCCUGCUCAGUCUCAGUCCUUAUCACCUGUGAUUUCGGGAGCCGGGAGAAGAAUGUGACCCCAGGAGAACAAGAGGGCAAAGCUGCUGACCAUUCACUCCCGUUCCACUACAAUCAGAGUGAAAGAGAAGAGAUGAAACAAACUGUGCUUCACUAAGUAUGUAGCUCAGAUAAAAACCCGAUCCAGGACACUGAAAGCAACAGUAUACUGUGUUCAGUGAAAUUUAAAAAGUCUUCUUGUACAGCUUGACUGUUUUUCUAUUGUGCAGCCAAAGUCUCUCUCUUGAGCAUAGAGAAGAGGCUGGAUACUGCAUGCACACAACCCUACCUCUAUAAGGCUUCUACCUUCUGCUGCAAAAGGGAGCAUCACGGUAAUAUCCUUGAGUGUCUGGGUUUGAAAUUUCAGACAGAGCCA
Molecule: long non-coding RNA, 877 nt
Organism: Passer domesticus (house sparrow)
Lineage: Eukaryota; Metazoa; Chordata; Aves; Passeriformes; Passeridae
Exons: 4
Source: RefSeq, a predicted model, not a curated record